GGCUCAGGAGGAACGCUAGCGGGAGGCCUAACACAUGCAAGCCGAGCGGUAGAGAUUCUUCGGAAUCUUGAGAGCGGCGUACGGGUGUGGAACACGUGUGCAACCUGCCUUUAUCAGGGGGAUAGCCUUUCGAAAGGAAGAUUAAUACCCCAUAAUAUUUUGAAUGGCAUCAUUUAAAAUUGAAAACUCCGGUGGAUAGAGAUGGGCACGCGCAAGAUUAGAUAGUUGGUAGGGUAACGGCCUACCAAGUCAAUGAUCUUUAGGGGGCCUGAGAGGGUGAUCCCCCACACUGGUACUGAGACACGGACCAGACUCCUACGGGAGGCAGCAGUGAGGAAUAUUGGACAAUGGGUGAGAGCCUGAUCCAGCCAUCCCGCGUGAAGGACGACGGCCCUAUGGGUUGUAAACUUCUUUUGUAUAGGGAUAAACCUUUCCACGUGUGGAAAGCUGAAGGUACUAUACGAAUAAGCACCGGCUAACUCCGUGCCAGCAGCCGCGGUAAUACGGAGGGUGCAAGCGUUAUCCGGAUUUAUUGGGUUUAAAGGGUCCGUAGGCGGAUCUGUAAGUCAGUGGUGAAAUCUCAUAGCUUAACUAUGAAACUGCCAUUGAUACUGCAGGUCUUGAGUAAGGUAGAAGUGGCUGGAAUAAGUAGUGUAGCGGUGAAAUGCAUAGAUAUUACUUAGAACACCAAUUGCGAAGGCAGGUCACUAUGUCUUAACUGACGCUGAUGGACGAAAGCGUGGGGAGCGAACAGGAUUAGAUACCCUGGUAGUCCACGCCGUAAACGAUGCUAACUCGUUUUUGGGUUUUCGGAUUCAGAGACUAAGCGAAAGUGAUAAGUUAGCCACCUGGGGAGUACGUUCGCAAGAAUGAAACUCAAAUGAACUGACGGAAGGGGG
Molecule: ribosomal RNA, 899 nt
Filed under: uncultured bacterium
Lineage: Bacteria
Description: bacterial SSU rRNA
Rfam family: Bacterial small subunit ribosomal RNA
Source: RNAcentral